GAUGAACGCUGGCGGCGUGCCUAAUACAUGCAAGUCGAGCGAACAGACGAGGAGCUUGCUCCUCUGACGUUAGCGGCGGACGGGUGAGUAACACGUGGAUAACCUACCUAUAAGACUGGGAUAACUUCGGGAAACCGGAGCUAAUACCGGAUAAUAUAUUGAACCGCAUGGUUCAAUAGUGAAAGACGGUUUUGCUGUCACUUAUAGAUGGAUCCGCGCCGCAUUAGCUAGUUGGUAAGGUAACGGCUUACCAAGGCAACGAUGCGUAGCCGACCUGAGAGGGUGAUCGGCCACACUGAACUGAGACACGGUCCAGACUCCUACGGGAGGCAGCAGUAGGGAAUCUUCCGCAAUGGGCGAAAGCUUGACGGAGCAACGCCGCGUGAGUGAUGAAGGUCUUCGGAUCGUAAAACUCUGUUAUUAGGGAAGAACAAAUGUGUAAGUAACUAUGCACGUCUUGACGGUACCUAAUCAGAAAGCCACGGCUAAUUACGUG
This 496-nucleotide ribosomal RNA is filed under the name uncultured bacterium. Its description in RNAcentral is "partial 16S ribosomal RNA". It matches the Rfam family "Bacterial small subunit ribosomal RNA", at positions 28 to 507 of the family's 1533-position model. The record is from RNAcentral.